UUAAGCGACUAAGCGUACACGGUGGAUGCCCUGGCAGUCAGAGGCGAUGAAGGACGUGCUAAUCUGCGAUAAGCGUCGGUAAGGUGAUAUGAACCGUUAUAACCGGCGAUUUCCGAAUGGGGAAACCCAGUGUGUUUCGACACACUAUCAUUAACUGAAUCCAUAGGUUAAUGAGGCGAACCGGGGGAACUGAAACAUCUAAGUACCCCGAGGAAAAGAAAUCAACCGAGAUUCCCCCAGUAGCGGCGAGCGAACGGGGAGCAGCCCAGAGCCUGAAUCAGUGUGUGUGUUAGUGGAAGCGUCUGGAAAGGCGCGCGAUACAGGGUGACAGCCCCGUACACAAAAAUGCACAUGCUGUGAGCUCGAUGAGUAGGGCGGGACACGUGGUAUCCUGUCUGAAUAUGGGGGGACCAUCCUCCAAGGCUAAAUACUCCUGACUGACCGAUAGUGAACCAGUACCGUGAGGGAAAGGCGAAAAGAACCCCGGCGAGGGGAGUGAAAAAGAACCUGAAACCGUGUACGUACAAGCAGUGGGAGCACGCUUAGGCGUGUGACUGCGUACCUUUUGUAUAAUGGGUCAGCGACUUAUAUUCUGUAGCAAGGUUAACCGAAUAGGGGAGCCGAAGGGAAACCGAGUCUUAACUGGGCGUUAAGUUGCAGGGUAUAGACCCGAAACCCGGUGAUCUAGCCAUGGGCAGGUUGAAGGUUGGGUAACACUAACUGGAGGACCGAACCGACUAAUGUUGAAAAAUUAGCGGAUGACUUGUGGCUGGGGGUGAAAGGCCAAUCAAACCGGGAGAUAGCUGGUUCUCCCCGAAAGCUAUUUAGGUAGCGCCUCGUGAAUUCAUCUCCGGGGGUAGAGCACUGUUUCGGCAAGGGGGUCAUCCCGACUUACCAACCCGAUGCAAACUGCGAAUACCGGAGAAUGUUAUCACGGGAGACACACGGCGGGUGCUAACGUCCGUCGUGAAGAGGGAAACAACCUAGACCGCCAGCUAAGGUCCCAAAGUCAUGGUUAAGUGGGAAACGAUGUGGGAAGGCCCAGACAGCCAGGAUGUUGGCUUAGAAGCAGCCAUCAUUUAAAGAAAGCGUAAUAGCUCACUGGUCGAGUCGGCCUGCGCGGAAGAUGUAACGGGGCUAAACCAUGCACCGAAGCUGCGGCAGCGACACUAUGUGUUGUUGGGUAGGGGAGCGUUCUGUAAGCCUGUGAAGGUGUGCUGUGAGGCAUGCUGGAGGUAUCAGAAGUGCGAAUGCUGACAUAAGUAACGAUAAAGCGGGUGAAAAGCCCGCUCGCCGGAAGACCAAGGGUUCCUGUCCAACGUUAAUCGGGGCAGGGUGAGUCGACCCCUAAGGCGAGGCCGAAAGGCGUAGUCGAUGGGAAACAGGUUAAUAUUCCUGUACUUGGUGUUACUGCGAAGGGGGGACGGAGAAGGCUAUGUUGGCCGGGCGACGGUUGUCCCGGUUUAAGCGUGUAGGCUGGUUUUCCAGGCAAAUCCGGAAAAUCAAGGCUGAGGCGUGAUGACGAGGCACUACGGUGCUGAAGCAACAAAUGCCCUGCUUCCAGGAAAAGCCUCUAAGCAUCAGGUAACAUCAAAUCGUACCCCAAACCGACACAGGUGGUCAGGUAGAGAAUACCAAGGCGCUUGAGAGAACUCGGGUGAAGGAACUAGGCAAAAUGGUGCCGUAACUUCGGGAGAAGGCACGCUGAUAUGUAGGUGAGGUCCCUCGCGGAUGGAGCUGAAAUCAGUCGAAGAUACCAGCUGGCUGCAACUGUUUAUUAAAAACACAGCACUGUGCAAACACGAAAGUGGACGUAUACGGUGUGACGCCUGCCCGGUGCCGGAAGGUUAAUUGAUGGGGUUAGCGCAAGCGAAGCUCUUGAUCGAAGCCCCGGUAAACGGCGGCCGUAACUAUAACGGUCCUAAGGUAGCGAAAUUCCUUGUCGGGUAAGUUCCGACCUGCACGAAUGGCGUAAUGAUGGCCAGGCUGUCUCCACCCGAGACUCAGUGAAAUUGAACUCGCUGUGAAGAUGCAGUGUACCCGCGGCAAGACGGAAAGACCCCGUGAACCUUUACUAUAGCUUGACACUGAACAUUGAGCCUUGAUGUGUAGGAUAGGUGGGAGGCUUAGAAGUGUGGACGCCAGUCUGCAUGGAGCCGACCUUGAAAUACCACCCUUUAAUGUUUGAUGUUCUAACGUUGACCCGUAAUCCGGGUUGCGGACAGUGUCUGGUGGGUAGUUUGACUGGGGCGGUCUCCUCCUAAAGAGUAACGGAGGAGCACGAAGGUUGGCUAAUCCUGGUCGGACAUCAGGAGGUUAGUGCAAUGGCAUAAGCCAGCUUGACUGCGAGCGUGACGGCGCGAGCAGGUGCGAAAGCAGGUCAUAGUGAUCCGGUGGUUCUGAAUGGAAGGGCCAUCGCUCAACGGAUAAAAGGUACUCCGGGGAUAACAGGCUGAUACCGCCCAAGAGUUCAUAUCGACGGCGGUGUUUGGCACCUCGAUGUCGGCUCAUCACAUCCUGGGGCUGAAGUAGGUCCCAAGGGUAUGGCUGUUCGCCAUUUAAAGUGGUACGCGAGCUGGGUUUAGAACGUCGUGAGACAGUUCGGUCCCUAUCUGCCGUGGGCGCUGGAGAACUGAGGGGGGCUGCUCCUAGUACGAGAGGACCGGAGUGGACGCAUCACUGGUGUUCGGGUUGUCAUGCCAAUGGCACUGCCCGGUAGCUAAAUGCGGAAGAGAUAAGUGCUGAAAGCAUCUAAGCACGAAACUUGCCCCGAGAUGAGUUCUCCCUGACCCUUUAAGGGUCCUGAAGGAACGUUGAAGACGACGACGUUGAUAGGCCGGGUGUGUAAGCGCAGCGAUGCGUUGAGCUAACCGGUACUAAUGAACCGUGAGGCUUAACCUU
RNAcentral lists this ribosomal RNA (2901 nucleotides) under Escherichia coli. RNAcentral's name for it is "bacterial LSU rRNA". It matches the Rfam family "Bacterial large subunit ribosomal RNA". The record is from RNAcentral. Lineage: Bacteria; Pseudomonadati; Pseudomonadota; Gammaproteobacteria; Enterobacterales; Enterobacteriaceae.